Long non-coding RNA from Microtus oregoni (creeping vole), 269 nucleotides. RefSeq lists it as uncharacterized. The record is from RefSeq and is a predicted model, not a curated record. The transcript is spliced from 3 exons. Lineage: Eukaryota; Metazoa; Chordata; Mammalia; Rodentia; Cricetidae.
CUGCGAAGGCUCCUUUUCGGGACCUGGUUACUUUCUACAUCAGAUCAAGAACUGGAAGCUGCCUGGCCCCAGUUGAAUUAACUUUUCUGCUUUUUAGUUCAACAGGUGCAACAGAACAAGGACACUUGCUCUCUACUCUGUAUGCUGAAGGAUAUCUUUAAAGAAUUCCAGAGAAAGUCACACCUGCAUAUUUUCUUGCAUCUGGUACUUUAAAUUUAUUUAUAUGCUGGAUUACAUUGAUAGAUUUUCGUAUGUUGAACCAGCCCUGC